Caenorhabditis elegans is the source of this 164-nucleotide non-coding RNA. The record is from Ensembl. Lineage: Eukaryota; Metazoa; Nematoda; Chromadorea; Rhabditida; Rhabditidae.
UUUGCUUCGAGGGCGAAUCAUUUCUAGAAGGGGUGGGAGCGUGGUGUUUCUUUGCACCAUCCCUUGUUCUUGCCUUUCGGGAUUCUGUGACUGACUCAUUGCACAUAACACCAAAUGCUUUGAGGACAAAGCAGCAUUUUGAAAGGGCGGCAUGUGGAAGUGUU